UUUUUUGUUUUGUUUGUCAAAUACACCGGCCGGGUUGCUCGCGUAGUUGUUAUUAAUAACUAUUAAGCAUUAAUUUUGACUGAAUCGCAAUUAAUCCAAGAUGGAUGAAGAUGAGUACCAGAUUCAGAGAGCAUUCCCAGUCAGAGAUUUGUUAAAUUCAAAAGUCAAAAUUAAACCUGGUGAGGCGCCGGCAGAUGCAAUGGAAUACCUUUCAUUUGUUGCACACGAGGCGUCCCAAUGCAAAGAAGUGGUUGUGGCCGUAAUAGAUCAGAAGAAGCUCGGCAAACAAACUGUCACUUACCUGAGCGAAGAAGAAACAAAAGCAGAAAUUGACUCUCCAAAUCAACCCACUCGAGAAUGGAAAAUUUGUCAAGUGUCUGAUUUCUCAGAUGUCCGAACGCAGCUUGCUAAAAUGAAAGCAGGGCAUUCUGUAGACUCUAAAAAAGUUGAAAGAAAAAGCUUGCCUCUAAAAUGCCAUGAAUCUUCUUGGUGCAAGUAUUGCUUAGGCUCAAAUGUUGCAAGGUCUUUGCCGGACUUUAAGGAUUCUUGUGUUGAAGAGUGUGAGGCCAACCUUCCAACAGCAUCAGUAAUAUGCUCAAUGGACCAACCUUUAAUUGAAAAGCUACUGGAGUACCAAAUAGGAUGGAUGGAAAUUUGUGGAUUUUCAGCUAUUCAAGGACUUUGGAUUUAUUCCUUGAUGGCUGGUCUAGAAUUACCCUUGACACCAGAUGUUUGCAGUUUAUUGAGAGCCCUGGCUAGAAGAUGUGCCUCCGUAAGAGAUCAAGCAAGUAAAAAUUUGACUGAAUCAUGCAGAACUACUCUGAAUUUGAUCAUCUGCCUUGUCUCCAAAUAUUUCCGUCAGCUUGAUCUGGAAGAUUUAUGAAUUUUAUCUCCGUGAUGUCUCAGAUGCUAUACAUUAACUAGGGUAUAUAUUUUUGCCGCAAAGAUAUGGGCAAAGCAGACAAGAGCAGUUAUCAUCCCAUGAGCGCAUCUGAGGAUGAACAACAAGUCAAUGAGGUUGACUUGACUGAAACUCCUUCCAAAAAAUCAAGGAAAAAGAUUAAGGUGGGCAUUCCUUUGUACUCGACAGAUGAUAUAUCCGAUCUAUACAUUUCUGAAAAAUCUGAGUUCCCAACGGACCUAAAACUGAGACACCCAUUGUUUGGCUCUGAUUUUGAAGCCCGGUGUAACCUCUUGAAUGAUGCAACACUUUCAAGUCAAGAUAAUUCACCACGGAAGACAAAAAAGAUAAAGUUGGAGCCCUCGGACAUUGAUGUUAUUGAUAUUGAGGAUGAAGACUCCAGCAGCAAAGAUCAUCAUAAGAAAAAGUUGAAGAGGAAGCGAGACAAAUAUGAUAUUGAAGGACUUCCAAAGAAAAGAAAUCAUAAUGAUAGUUAGAUAGAGUCAAUAAAAUCCAAGGAAUUCCUAUAAAAUGAAUGUUUAUU
RNA transcript from Neocloeon triangulifer, 1445 nucleotides. It is a transcript of the gene named gem-associated protein 2, with no coding region annotated. The record is from RefSeq and is a predicted model, not a curated record. The transcript has 10 exons. Lineage: Eukaryota; Metazoa; Arthropoda; Insecta; Ephemeroptera; Baetidae.